Molecule: ribosomal RNA, 793 nt
Filed under: uncultured bacterium
Lineage: Bacteria
Description: bacterial SSU rRNA
Rfam family: Bacterial small subunit ribosomal RNA
Source: RNAcentral
AGAGUUUGAUCAUGGCUCAGGAUGAACGCUAGCGGCAGGCUUAAUACAUGCAAGUCGAGGGGCAACAGGGGUAGCAAUACCUGCUGGCGACCGGCAAACGGGUGCGCAACACGUACAGAACCCUCCUUUAAGCGGGGGAUAGCCCAGAGAAAUUUGGAUUAAUACCCCAUGGUAUUAUUGUCUGGCAUCAGGUAAUAAUUAAAGAUUUAUCACUUAGAGAUGGCUGUGCGUCUGAUUAGGUAGUUGGUGUGGGUAACGGCCUACCAAGCCUUCGAUCAGUAACUGGUGUGAGAGCACGACCAGUCACACGGGCACUGAGACACGGGCCCGACUCCUACGGGAGGCAGCAGUAAGGAAUAUUGGUCAAUGGACGCAAGUCUGAACCAGCCAUGCCGCGUGAAGGAUGAAGGUCCUCUGGAUUGUAAACUUCUUUUAUGUGGGAAGAAAUGUCCGGAUUAUUCUGGAUUUGACGGUACCAUAGGAAUAAGCACCGGCUAACUCCGUGCCAGCAGCCGCGGUAAUACGGAGGGUGCGAGCGUUAUCCGGAUUCACUGGGUUUAAAGGGUGCGUAGGUGGGUUUGUAAGUCAGUGGUGAAAUCUCCGUGCUUAACAUGGAAACUGCCAUUGAUACUAUAGGUCUUGAAUUUUCCGGAGGUUAGCGGAAUAUGUCUGUAGCGGUGAAAUGCUUAGAUAUGACAUAGAACACCAAUUGCGAAGGCAGCUAACUACAGGGAUAUUGACACUGAGGCACGAAAGCGUGGGGAUCAAACAGGAUUAGAUACCCUAGUAGUCC